Molecule: ribosomal RNA, 466 nt
Filed under: uncultured bacterium
Lineage: Bacteria
Description: partial 16S ribosomal RNA
Rfam family: Bacterial small subunit ribosomal RNA
Source: RNAcentral
GAUGAACGCUGGCGGCGUGCUUAACACAUGCAAGUCGAACGAUGACGCCCAGCUUGCUGGGUGUAUUAGUGGCGAACGGGUGAGUAACACGUGAGUAACCUGCCCUUAACUCUUGGAUAAGCCUUGGAAACUGGGUCUAUUACCGGAUAGGAGCGUCCACCGCAUGGUGGGUGUUGGAAAGAUUGAUCGGUUUUGGAUGGACUCGCGGCCUAUCAGCUUGUUCGUGUGGUCAUGGCUCACCAAGGCGACGACGGGUAGCCGACCUGAGAGGGUGACCGGCCACACUAGGACUGAGACACGGAGCAGACUCCUACGGGAGGCAGCAGUGGGAAAUAUUGCACAAUGGGAGCAAGCCUGAUGCAGCGACGCCGCGUGAGGGAUGACGGCCUUCGGGUUGUGAACCUCUUUCAGUAGAGAAGAAGCGAAAGUGACGGUACCUGAAGAAGAAGCACCGGCUAACUACGUG